This 74-nucleotide transfer RNA is filed under the name Fasciola gigantica. It matches the Rfam family "tRNA". Rfam says of the family: Transfer RNA (tRNA) molecules are approximately 80 nucleotides in length. The record is from Rfam by way of RNAcentral. Lineage: Eukaryota; Metazoa; Platyhelminthes; Trematoda; Plagiorchiida; Fasciolidae.
ACCGUGAUAGCUCAGCUGGUGGAGCAUCUGCCCGGUGAUGCGGAGGGUCGCCGGUUCGUUCCCGGCUCGCGGCG